GCCCUUAGAGUUUGAUCAUGGCUCAGAAUGAACGCUGGCGGCGUGCCUAACACAUGCAAGUCGAGCGAGAAAGGGGACUUCGGUUCCUGAGUAGAGCGGCGCACGGGUGAGUAACGCGUGGAUAAUCUGCCCAUUGAUUCGGGAUAACAGUGGGAAACCGCUGCUAAUACCGAAUAAGCUCAUGCAUUUUGGAGAUGUGUGGGGAAAGGCGGCCUCUGAUUCAAGCUGCCGUCGAUGGAUGAGUCCGCGUCCCAUUAGCUUGUUGGUGGGGUAAAGGCCUACCAAGGCGACGAUGGGUAGCCGGCCUGAGAGGGUGGCCGGCCACACUGGGACUGGAACACGGCCCAGACUCCUACGGGAGGCAGCAGUGGGGAAUAUUGCGCAAUGGGCGAAAGCCUGACGCAGCAACGUCGCGUGAGGGAAGAAGGCCUUCGGGUCGUAAACCUCUGUCAGGAGGGAAGAAUGUCAUGGAUUCGAACAGGGUCCGUGUUUGACGGUACCUCCAAAGGAAGCACCGGCUAACUCCGUGCCAGCAGCCGCGGUAAUACGGAGGGUGCAGCGUUAUUCGGAAUUACUGGGCGUAAAGGGCGUGUAGGCGGUCUUGUAGUCAGGUGUGAAUUCACGCUUACCGUGAACUGCCUUGAACUGCU
This 650-nucleotide ribosomal RNA is filed under the name uncultured delta proteobacterium. RNAcentral's name for it is "bacterial SSU rRNA". It matches the Rfam family "Bacterial small subunit ribosomal RNA", at positions 1 to 637 of the family's 1533-position model. Lineage: Bacteria; Deltaproteobacteria. The record is from RNAcentral.